AACCAUUCUCACCUGCGGCUAGACCUGCGGAAGGAUCAUUACCGAGUUUACAACUCCCAAACCCCUGUGAACAUACCUAUACGUUGCCUCGGCGGAUCAGCCCGCGCCCUGUAAAAAGGGACGGCCCGCCCGAGGACCCCUAAACUCUGUUUUUAGUGGAACUUCUGAGUAAAACAAACAAAUAAAUCAAAACUUUCAACAACGGAUCU
This 209-nucleotide unclassified non-coding RNA is filed under the name soil metagenome. RNAcentral's name for it is "partial contains 5.8S ribosomal RNA, internal transcribed spacer 2, and large subunit ribosomal RNA". The record is from RNAcentral.